Molecule: ribosomal RNA, 164 nt
Filed under: uncultured bacterium
Lineage: Bacteria
Description: partial 16S ribosomal RNA
Rfam family: Bacterial small subunit ribosomal RNA
Source: RNAcentral
UAGGAAAUCUUCCACAAUGGGCGCAAGCCUGAUGGAGCAACACCGCGUGAGUGAAGAAGGGUUUCGGCUCGUAAAGCUCUGUUGUUAAAGAAGAACACGUAUGAGAGUAACUGUUCAUACGUUGACGGUAUUUAACCAGAAAGUCACGGCUAACUACGUGCCCG